RNAcentral lists this ribosomal RNA (441 nucleotides) under uncultured bacterium. RNAcentral's name for it is "partial 16S ribosomal RNA". It matches the Rfam family "Bacterial small subunit ribosomal RNA", at positions 338 to 795 of the family's 1533-position model. The record is from RNAcentral.
CCUACGGGAGGCAGCAGUGGGGGAUAUUGCACAAUGGGGGGAACCCUGAUGCAGCGACGCCGCGUGUGUGAAGGAGUGCUUCGGCAUGUAAAGCCCUAUCGGCAGGGAAGAAGCAAGACGGUACCUGACUAAGAACCCCCGGCUCACUCCGGGCCAGCAGCCUCGGUAAUACGUAGGGGGCGAGCGUUAUCCGGAAGCACUGGGUGUAAAGGGAUCGUAGUCGGGCAUGCAAGCCAGGGGUGAAAGCCCGGGGCCCAACCCCGGGACUGCCCUUGGAACUGGGCGGCUAGAGUGCGGGAGGGGGAGGGGGAAUUCCGGGUGUAGCGGUGAAAUGCGUAGAUAUGAGGAGGAACACCGGCGGCGAAGGCGGCCUGCUGGACAGAGACUGACGUUGAGGCUCGAAAGCGUGGGGAGCGAACAGGAUUAGAUACCCCGGUAGUC